GCAUAUCAAUAAGCGGAGGAAAAGAAACCAACAGGGAUUACCUCAGUAACGGCGAGUGAAGCGGUAAAAGCUCAAAUUUGAAAUCUGGCUCUUUUAGAGUCCGAAUUGUAAUUUGUAGAAGAUGCUUCGGGUGUGGUUCCGGUCUAAGUUCCUUGGAACAGGACGUCAUAGAGGGUGAGAAUCCCGUAUGUGACUGGAUACCUAUGCUCAUGUGAAGCUCUUUCGACGAGUCGAGUUGUUUGGGAAUGCAGCUCAAAAUGGGAGGUAUAUUUCUUCUAAAGCUAAAUAUUGGCCAGAGACCGAUAGCGCACAAGUAGAGUGAUCGAAAGAUGAAAAGCACUUUGGAAAGAGAGUUAAACAGUACGUGAAAUUGUUGAAAGGGAAGCGCUUGCAAUCAGACUUGCACUUGGUGUUCAUCAGGGUCUCGUACCCUGUGUACUUCAUCAAGUUCAGGCCAGCAUCAGUUUGAGUGGUUAGAUAAAGGCUUAGAGAAUGUGGCCCUCUUCGGGGGGUGUUAUAGCUCUAGGUGCAAUGUAGCCUACUUGGACUGAGGACCGCGCUUCGGCUAGGAUGCUGGCGUAAUGGUUGUAAGCGACCCGUCUUGAAACACGGACCAAGGAGUGUACCUAAUAUGCGAGUGUUUGGGUGUUAAACCCAUACGCGUAAUGAAAGUGAACGCUGGUGAGAACCCUUAAGGGUGCAUCAUCGACCGAUCUUGAUGUCUUCGGAUGGAUUUGAGUAAGAGCAUAUUGGGUGCGACCCGAAAGAUGGUGAUCUAUACGUGAAUAGGGUGAAGCCAGAGGAAACUCUGGUGGAGGCUCGCAGCGGUUCUGACGUGCAAAUCGAUCGUCAAAUUUGCGUAUAGGGGCGAAAGACUAAUCGAA
This 884-nucleotide ribosomal RNA is filed under the name Botrytis aclada. RNAcentral's name for it is "LSU rRNA". It matches the Rfam family "Eukaryotic large subunit ribosomal RNA", at positions 38 to 939 of the family's 3401-position model. Lineage: Eukaryota; Fungi; Ascomycota; Leotiomycetes; Helotiales; Sclerotiniaceae. The record is from RNAcentral.